This 739-nucleotide small RNA is filed under the name Rattus norvegicus (Norway rat). RNAcentral describes it as "uncharacterized LOC102555980". The record is from RNAcentral. Lineage: Eukaryota; Metazoa; Chordata; Mammalia; Rodentia; Muridae.
CCUACAUCGGUGACCACAUUUUCUAAAGGGAAUGGCUUGUGCAUCUGAUUCCCCUUCCAGGACCGACCUAUGCUGCUCUUUCCUCUGUUUCAAAGAGAGACCAGAGAUCAGUCAGCUGAGGCUGCAGCCUGGUCACUGUCCUAGCACAGGACCUACCAGCCCUGCCGAAUGCAGAUUCCCAGCCUUCAGACUAGAGAUGUGCAUGCCAUGAAGCCACCAAACCUGUGCACUUCGUCACGGCAGCCGGAAGUCCUGAGCCAGCUGUGCUGCAGCUGCUGGAGGGAGAACCACCGCACACCUCCUAGCACUUACAUGCUGCUCUCAGGUUAGGGGAUCCACCAUUGAGAAGACAACGUUCAUUCGGGACAAGUAUGCCACUAUGUCAUUUUUUUAAAAUUCUCUAAGCAAUCAGCCACAGCCCUUCGACUGAAGCAAAACAGUUCCUAUCUGUGAAGGUUUGCAUACGACGCUCGGCCCAAGGAGUGGCACUAUUAGGUGUGACUCUGUUGGAGUAGGUGUGGCCUUGUUGGAGUAGGUGUAUCACUUUGGGUGUGGGCUCUAAGCCCUCCUGCUAGCUGCCUGGAGGCCAGGAUUCUCCUAGCAGCCUUUUGAUGAAGAUGUAGAACUCUCAGCUCCUCCUGCACCAUGCCUGCCUGGAUGCUGCCAUGUUCCUGCCUUGAUGAUAAUGGACUGAACCUCUGAACCUGUAUGUCAGCCUCAAUUAAAUGUUGUCCUGAGG